AUUGAACGCUGGCGGCAGGCCUAACACAUGCAAGUCGAACGGUAGCACAGAGAGCUUGCUCUCGGGUGACGAGUGGCGGACGGGUGAGUAAUGUCUGGGAAACUGCCCGAUGGAGGGGGAUAACUACUGGAAACGGUAGCUAAUACCGCAUAACGUCGCAAGACCAAAGUGGGGGACCUUCGGGCCUCACACCAUCGGAUGUGCCCAGAUGGGAUUAGCUAGUAGGUGGGGUAAUGGCUCACCUAGGCGACGAUCCCUAGCUGGUCCGAGAGGAUGACCAGCCACACUGGAACUGAGACACGGUCCAGACUCCUACGGGAGGCAGCAGUGGGGAAUAUUGCACAAUGGGCGCAAGCCUGAUGCAGCCAUGCCGCGUGUAUUAAGAAGGCCUUCGGGUUGUAAAGUACUUUCAGCGGGGAGGAAGGCGGUGGAGUUAAUAACUUCACCGAUUGACGUUACCCGCAGAAGAAGCACCGGCUAACUCCGUGCCAGCCGCCGCGGUAA
Molecule: ribosomal RNA, 504 nt
Filed under: uncultured bacterium
Lineage: Bacteria
Description: partial 16S ribosomal RNA
Rfam family: Bacterial small subunit ribosomal RNA
Source: RNAcentral